RNAcentral lists this long non-coding RNA (508 nucleotides) under Homo sapiens (human). Its description in RNAcentral is "HSALNT0256724". Lineage: Eukaryota; Metazoa; Chordata; Mammalia; Primates; Hominidae. The record is from RNAcentral.
ACUCAUUCCAUCUCAUCCUCCCUGUGUUAGCCAGACAAGCACUUCCUGAUUUGCCAGUCCAUGGAGAGGCCCUGCCAGCCCGUUCAUGGCUGCUGCAAAGGACAGGUAAGGGUCUGAAAGGCCACUGCCCACCAAGUGGCUGGUAUGGGCACUUACAUUGCCGCCCUCAUGGUCACUGUGGAUAGUGAGGUACAGGUGCAUGAGCUCAGGGAACUGAUGAUCAGUAUAGCCUAACAUGUUGGUGAAACUGUGAGACCAGUCCAGGUUAGAGUCAAUGGCCCCAAUACCACUGCCUUCUCCAUAGAGAUUUCGGUAGAUCUUUGCUGCGACACAAGGUAGCUUUGUGAUUAGAUCCACAGAGUCUUCAUAAAUCAACUCCCAGUACUUGGUUCGGCUGAUACCCCGUGCAUAUGCUUGGGCAAAGUUACUUUCACUGUUGAGGGCUGUAACAGCUGCACUGAGCUGAGACAUGGGGUGUAGAUUGGUGGGAAAGUUGUCCAGCAUGGUG